GCGGGAUUAGUUCAUCGGUAGAACGCGAGCUUCCCAAGCUCGAGAGACGGGUUCGAUUCCCGUAUCCCGCUC
This 72-nucleotide transfer RNA is filed under the name Conexibacter sp. JCM 18997. RNAcentral's name for it is "tRNA-Gly". It matches the Rfam family "tRNA". From Rfam's summary of the family: Transfer RNA (tRNA) molecules are approximately 80 nucleotides in length. Their secondary structure includes four short double-helical elements and three loops (D, anti-codon, and T loops). Further hydrogen bonds mediate the characteristic L-shaped molecular structure. tRNAs have two regions of fundamental functional importance: the anti-codon, which is responsible for specific mRNA codon recognition, and the 3' end, to which the tRNAs corresponding amino acid is attached (by aminoacyl-tRNA synthetases). tRNAs cope with the degeneracy of the genetic code in two manners: having more than one tRNA (with a specific anti-codon) for a particular amino acid; and 'wobble' base-pairing, i.e. permitting non-standard base-pairing at the 3rd anti-codon position. The record is from RNAcentral. RNAcentral also lists the same sequence under 1 other name. Lineage: Bacteria; Bacillati; Actinomycetota; Thermoleophilia; Solirubrobacterales; Conexibacteraceae.